GUCAGGAUGGCCGAGUGGUCUAAGGUACUAGACUCAAGUUCAGGUCCUUGUAAAAGGGCGUGGGUUCAAAUCCCACUUCUGACA
Molecule: transfer RNA, 84 nt
Filed under: Ipomoea nil (Japanese morning glory)
Lineage: Eukaryota; Viridiplantae; Streptophyta; Magnoliopsida; Solanales; Convolvulaceae
Rfam family: tRNA
About the family: Transfer RNA (tRNA) molecules are approximately 80 nucleotides in length.
Source: Rfam by way of RNAcentral